This 374-nucleotide ribosomal RNA is filed under the name uncultured organism. RNAcentral's name for it is "partial 16S ribosomal RNA". It matches the Rfam family "Bacterial small subunit ribosomal RNA", at positions 527 to 896 of the family's 1533-position model. The record is from RNAcentral.
GAACCGUGCGAACGUUGUUCGGAAUCACUGGGCUUAAAGGGUCCGUAGGCGGCCAAGUCAGUCGGGUGUGAAAGCCCUCGGCUCAACCGAGGAAUUGCGCUCGAUACUGCUUGGCUUGAGGGAGGUAGAGGCGUGUGGAACUUCGGGUGGAGCGGUGAAAUGCGUUGAGAUCCGAAGGAACUCCAGUGGCGAAAGCGACACGCUGGGUCUCCUCUGACGCUGAGGGACGAAAGCUAGGGUAGCGAACGGGAUUAGAUACCCCGGGUAGUCCUAGCCGUAAACGAUGAGCACUGGGUCGAGGUGGUUCCCGAUGACCGUCUCGGCCGAAGCAAAAGUGGUAAGUGCUCCGCCUGGGGAGUAUGGCCGCAAGGCUG